This 395-nucleotide long non-coding RNA is filed under the name Chrysemys picta bellii (western painted turtle). RNAcentral describes it as "lncRNA (ENSCPBG00000015887.1)". Lineage: Eukaryota; Metazoa; Chordata; Testudines; Emydidae. The record is from RNAcentral.
AUUCUGAGGAAGUCCUAUAGCCUGUGUUAUAGAUGAUCAGUGGUUCCUUCUGGCCUUGGAAUCAUGAAAAUGAGGGUCAUAUAACUGUUGAAACAUGCCUGCAUUAAUUAAGGAGUUUUGCAUGUGACUGAGGGCAUCUGGCCCUAACUAUGUUAAAUAGCAUGAAGCGUGUGAUUUAAACCUACAAAAUUCAAGAAAUUCAGCUAAGGAUGCUGCCCACUCAUACACGAUUCAGAUUCAGUAGGAGGCAGGAUGCUCUUUACUCUUCAGCAACCAGUCUGGAGAACAGAGAAGGAAGACAGCAGCAGUAUAUGAACUUGGGGACUUUGCAUCUGCUGCUUGGACUACACGUGAGGUGCUAUUGCCAGGAGAAUAGAGCUGAGAUCUGCUGCUGA